RNAcentral lists this ribosomal RNA (445 nucleotides) under uncultured bacterium. RNAcentral describes it as "partial 16S ribosomal RNA". It matches the Rfam family "Bacterial small subunit ribosomal RNA", at positions 354 to 796 of the family's 1533-position model. The record is from RNAcentral.
GUAGGGAAUAUUGGGCAAUGGAGGCAACUCUGACCCAGCCAUGCCGCGUGCAGGAUGACGGCCCUCUGGGUUGUAAACUGCUUUUAUACGGGAAGAAAAAAUACUACGUGUAGUAUACUGACGGUACCGUAAGAAUACGGAUCGGCUAACUCCGUGCCAGCAGCCGCGGUAAUACGGAGGAUCCAAGCGUUGUCCGGAUUUAUUGGGUUUAACGGGUGCGUAGGCGGAUCUUUAAGUCAGUGGUGAAAGCCUGCAGCUUAACUGUAGAAUUGCCAUUGAAGCUGAAGAUCGUGAAUGUGGUUGAAGUAGGCGGAAUGUAUCAUGUAGCGGUGAAAUGCUUAGAUAUGGUACAGAACACCGAUAGCGAAGGCAGCUUGCUGAACCAGUAUUGACGCUGAGGCGCGAAAGCGUGGGGAGCGAACAGGAUUAGAAACCCGGGUAGUCC